GCCCCCACGGGAUGCCAGGGGGCUCGAAGGAGGCAGAAACCCGCGGGGCUGAGCGUUUGGCGGGCCCAGCCCGUGCCACAGUAGCCGGGAACAUCUCCGCGCUGCAGCUGCCCGAAGGCGUACCCCGAACCUGCAGACAGCGCCGGGCUGGGGGCACCGAGGGGCAGAGCGAGGCGGGCGGAGGGACCCCAGAGCUCCGCAGCGAAGCCUGCAAUUCCUCCAGUGCUAGCCAACCCCCGUCCCCCGAGCGCUCCAGCGCCGGCGCUCGUCUUGGGGACCAGGGAGGCGAGCGGGGCCACCGCACUUGUCAGGGCAGGAGCAGCCUCUGAACCACUGCUGGGCUUGCUGGUGAAACGGAGACGGGCAUCACGCAGCAGAGAGCAAAGCUGAGGAAAGCUCUGCCGGGGCCACGAGCGCUGCAGGUGGUGCCGAUAGGUCUGAGCUCUCCUUGCUCACAAGUUACUGCCCCCGAAUCAAACCAGCCCUGCUCCUCCGUCACCGGCACUCUGCACCCGCCUUGGACCGCAGACAGGCCCGGAUCUCACCUGACUAAGAGGUAGUUUUAUUUGCAGAUGGGGAAGACGAAUUAAAAUGAAAGGAUUUGCUACAUGAGGGAUGCCAGAGUUAGGCAGGAUGCCAAGUUUCUGGCUUUCACAGUACUUUGCGGUAGCUUGCUCUUUGCUAAGACAGAUGCUUGGCUUCCCUUAGUGCCUGAGUGCUUAGCAAGGUAGUCAAUUAGGCCAUUACAAUAAUUCACACACGUUUAGCAACAACUUGUUUAAAAAAAACAUCACUUCAGUCACAGGGCAAGUGGCGGUAGUGCAGUGGUAGGUGGCAGCGUGAGAGGGAAAAUUAGUUGCUGUGCAGGAGCCACUGAAAUUCAAAGACAAUUAACGUGGGAAGGAUUACUGGCAAAGAAUUGCAGCAAAUUACGUCUAGAUGGGUAGAAGGAGAUACCUAGGGAAUUUGUCGGAUUUUUUUUUAAAUUCAUAAAAGUGUUAAUAUUUUAAUUUUAUUUGUCUUUAACUAAUUGGUAUCCUUCCUUUGUGAUUCCAAAGAAAAGGUCACGAUUCCCACCUCUCAGAAUGUUGACAGACUUUGUGCUCUUUUCCAUUUUCUUCACUGGAGCAGCUGUACUGAAUUGGAAGGUCUAUUCACGUCUCUGCUGCUCUCUGUCUCUCGCUGUGAAUACCAGCCGCAGAGAGGCUGGAGCGCAGCUCUGGGCUGCCCCCUCCCCAGGGCACAGCCCCAGCCCUGAGCGCUGCUGGAGGAAGGGCUGAUCUCAGCUGCUCUCGGUGCCCUCCAUGGCACUGCCACUGCAGGCGCUCCCAGGCACUGCUGCAGCCAAGCUGCCUCUCUGCUGGAUUUUUCUGGGAUGUCAUUCACAGGCCACUCUGGCAUUGCCUUUCCUAGAUGAUAUUUCUGGGCAACAAUUGCAGAGCAGGUAUGCCCAAUUAAUGCCUUACUGCAUUCAGGCAUCCCUCCAGAGCUGGUGGUCUAGAGUAGCUCUCACUCUGACUUAAAGCACAUUAGGAAACACUUUAGGACUCAGCUCCUGGUAUAAAAGUUGUGUUCCCUCCUCAAGAUCCAUCUUCCUUUUCAUGCAGCUGAAUAUCCUAUACCACAUCUUUUCAUCUGGUUCCUUUCUCUUAGCUGAAUCUGCAGCGUUCCAAGUAUGCACUAGCAGCUUGGGUCAAGCAAGACAAGUGUUCAGAUUUCUUUGACAGUUGGAAAGUAGAAUUAUUCCUGCAAGUAUUUGCUUGCUCAUUCACAAAAAUACAAAAAUAAAUUUGGGUACCAACAAGAUAAAUAAUUGCAGCUGCAUCUGGACUGAAUGAAGGUAGAAAUUUUUAAAAAAUAUUUUUAAAAGGACAUGGAAAAAAAUGUUGUGUCUCUUUUUAUUUAUUGGAGAUUGAUGGAGGCAGGGGGAAAGAUGUCUUUUCCCCUCAUCAUUCUUUCAGGUAUCCGGAGUAAUUUCCAUCUUGGAAGAUUUCUUUAUUUCUACUGGAAUCUGUAACAAAACAUUCCCUGGGUUUGCUCCAAAGCUUCAGCUGUGCUGGUUAUAUCCCAACCAAAGACUGGUUUAAAAAGCACCCAAUGCUGAAAGGGAAACUUCUUCCUCCUACCAUAGUCAGGCUUGAAAUUCUGUUGAUUCUCAUCAGGGCUUCUAAUUGGAGCUGGAAUAAUCAUGGGGAAAUGUUGUUUAUUUAGUAUUAAAGAGGCCUAUGGAAAUCUGCCUGGUUUUGUGGCAUAGGUUUGAGAUGAAGAGCUUUAAUGUUAUUGGAUGGUAGUGAUGUGUACUGUGAGCCUGACUGAUUACAGCUACCUGCUUGCUUGCUAAUGUUUUGACUUUUUUUUUUUUUUUUUAAUUUGCUCUUCCAUUUCUUGCUGAUAUUCACUGUGUGAGUUUUUUUUUUGUUUUAAUGGAACAGUAAGAAUUGUGUAAGCUUAAAAGAAGUGCUCUAUUUAAUUCUUGCAGAGAAAAAUGUUAUUGGGCUGAGCUCCUGUCUGCUACUGCUAACUUUGAGUGCUACUCAAAGCAUCCUCACUGCCAGGACAGUCGGCACCUUAUUAAAAGCCUUUGCAGAGAAGCCAAAACUCACAGAGGCCAGAGCUUCUUCUUGAGUAAAUUGGAAUAGUUUUUAAUGACACAGGGAGAUAAAAGUGAUCUAUGACAGCUGAGAACCUGGCCCUAAUACACCUAGAGAGCCAGUAUCUCUCACUCCUAGGCAUGUUCCUCCAGGAAGGAAGCAAGACAAGCUGUCCAACAGAGACAGGGCACAUCUGAACUGUUCUGCUUGGUAUUUUGAACUCUUCUGUUAGGGAGAGGAAGGAGCUUGGUUUGUCUCACCAACACAGCAGUACUUUUCUAGCUGAGCUCUAACUAGACUAGAACCAAGCCCUGACUCAGCUAUUGCUGAGUGGUGGUGCACACUGCUACCUUCCUGACUUAUGGAUAAGAUCAGCAGUGUCUCAGAAGUGGUUCUUGACUUGGGGCCAAAGAAACAUAUUACAUGGUGUGUGUGGUGUGGGCCAUGCGUGGAAGUGUCCAUCACUGCAUUCCUGCUGAGGUGUGUGAGCUUCUUUGCUACACAUGGGAAGAACACUUCUUGUUUUGUCAUAGAAAAGAACUGUUACACAAAGAAUCCAGUUUCCUCUGGAUUUUAAAUAUAUCCAAAAGUAAUGGAUAAAAACCUUCAUUGUAAGACAGCAAGGAAAAGGGGAUUUUUCUUGUUAUUUCAAACCUAAGCAGGCAAACAAUAGUAGUUGGCAUUAGGUGAGAGAAAGAAAUGUGAACGUUGGUUUCAAGGUAAUAUACUAACAUUCCAGGCUUGUUAUUCUUGUGCAGGUACUCUACUGUUUAUUCUAUUCCAGAUGAUUACAUGAAAAAACCCUCUCAAGUAGCAUUGUGCUUCAUUUCAAGCCUUGUAAAGUAACACCAGAAAAAGCUGAGGCUAUUCUGAAUUGAGUUAAAUUUCUCUUAAAAUUUAUUAGGAAAUCAAGUGUAAGACUGUGCUUCAUAUUGGCAAAAUUCUGUUUAAUUAAGGAAUUUUAAUCUUUCUCUUAUUUGAGUUUUAAAAUUAAUGUCUAUAUGAUGGAGGUUGAAAAAUAUUGUACUUAUUGAAAAAGCAUUAUUUUAGAUUUACGUUGACAGAAUAUCAACUUUUUAACAUACAGAUUUCCAUCAGCUGAAUGAGAGAAAAUUAAUUAGGGAAGAAUGAUUAUUUUGGGACUGGGCUUUUUUUUUUAAAUGGAGUACUUUAGGGUUUUUUACUUUCAAAAUAUUGCUUGAUCUAGGAAUCAUUUGAAAAUCCUCAGAAAUAGGACAUUAGAAAUCAAAAGAGUAAAUGAGUUUAGGAGAAAAGACUUAAGCAUCUAAAUAAUUUAACUCUUGGGUUCUGCUCUGAAAAGUAUGGUGUCCUGGUAUACUUGAAAAGCUUUCUUGUUCAUCAUAUGCUGCAUGUAGAGUCAGGUUGUGGGCUUGUAAUGAUGUCCACACCUAGGAUCCAUGGUCACCCACCAGCACUCCACUCAGCUAUGUGCUGCAGACAGAGAACAAAAAAUAUGUUUUCUGGCCUCAAAACACCUACAUACAUAAUACAAUCCAUAUGUGACUAUUUUUCCAAAGCUAUUUAGAAAAGCUUAUUUUAUUAGGAUGAAGUUUGAUUGCUGAACAAAUAUAAACUUGCAUGCCAAAUGAAGAAACAACAUUUGUCAAGCUAAACUUUUUAAACUCUCUUUCACAAUUUUUUGAUGCAUCUUACGUAUUUGAUGACUAUAAAAGAAUUUGCCAAGAAAAUGAAAGUAAUAAAAAUCCUCUGCCCUCGUGCAUUUGCUUUUCUUUUUCUUUUGUCUCCUGAAGCUGUAGGAGGUGUUUGCUGACAUGUUUUGCUUUCAGGGCACUUCUGGAGCAACGUGAUACGAGAAGUGACUCAGCUAAGCAAACUGAGUUUGUAUGAACAUCAGAAGCCCUUAAAGGAUGAAGCUGUAACUGGGAAUUAUGAAAAGAGGCAUCUAAGGAGCUCAAUGUGUUAUGUGCAUACAUAUUUCACUAUAUGUCAGCUAUAAAAUAUAAUUUCCAGUUAUGCUGAAAAACUGAAAAACUCCCUUCCCAAGCCUUACUGCAUCCCAACAUCUUAGACAGAUUUCAUACACUUUUAAGACAUGAACUGAUAUCUCAUGCACAGUUUUGACAAAAUAGUCCCUUUUACUUUAUUCUUGCUGUGAUGAAAGGCAGCUUAUUGUGUGACCACCUGUGUUUCAGGGUGUUCCCUGUGGAGGAUUCUGUGCACCACCCGUGGAGCAGACAGUGUCAGUCUGGCAGGUCAGAAAUACAAGUGAAGGAGGACUAUCAGGAAUAUAGAAUGAUCUGAAUUAAGCACUACCUUUUUGCUGUACUCCUCCUUUCCUCGGCUCAGCAGAGAAGCAGCAGCAAUUCUAACUCCCUCAUUCUUGAGGCAGGACAGAACGUGUUAGAGAAGUGCAGGUAAGCUUUAGCUUAAAUCACUAGCCCUGAUGGACAUUGUGCUGGGGUAUCAAUUAGAGACCACAAUACCAUUUUAACCAAAGGCUCUUGUUCAGCCUGUCUCCUCUCCAGGAAACCCCUCCUUGCUUCCUCUCUUGAUGCCGAGAUAAAAAACUGCUGGCAAAGAAGCAAAGCCAAACAAGGUUUUGGCUUGGAAAAUGGCUCUCAUAGCACUGCCAGAACGAGGGAAUGCUGGAAAGAAGAUUCCUGGAGAGGGUUUAACUUCACUUUGCACUAUGCAAGCAGCACAAUGUGAGGCUGAAGAUGAACAGAUCCUGUCUCAAAACUGCUUGGAGAUCGUAGAUGGAGUAAUGCAGAAAGCCUAUGCUUGAAUUUUAUCUACACCAAUGGAAUAAAAUGUAUUUAUUGUAUUUGCAAGUGGCAAGCAGUUCAGUGGAGCUUCAGUAUUAAGUCAUUUACACCUGAUUCUGGCCUCUUGCAGUGUCAGUGUAAGCAAAAGUCAAGUGUAUAUUGUCUCCUUCACACAGAUACAGUCCAAAAAUCAAGCAUGAAGGUUUUUGAUACUAAUAAAAACUGUUUGCCUAAGGACAAACUUGAGAGGAAUGUGAAUUUUCCAGUAUCUCCUGAUUCUUGUCAGGCUGUGUCACAGAAAUUUCUUUUCUUGAGAUAUUUCUGUGCUUCUUUCACCAAAACUUACGCAU
Molecule: long non-coding RNA, 5688 nt
Organism: Catharus ustulatus (Swainson's thrush)
Lineage: Eukaryota; Metazoa; Chordata; Aves; Passeriformes; Turdidae
Exons: 2
Source: RefSeq, a predicted model, not a curated record